AACUAGGAUGGAGACUUGCAGCAGUGGAAAGGUCAUAAGUCUUAGGAGCCAGAAAUCCCAGAUUCUGGUUUUGGCUGAGCUGCUAAUUAACCCUGUCACUUUAGGCAAACUGCUUCACCUAUGAUGCCUCAGUUUCCUUUUCUGUAAAAAUGAAGAGGCUAGACCCAAUGGAAAGUCCCUCAUAAAACAUCGCGAUGAAUGUGAAACUCGAAUAAUUCCUUGUCUCCUUAUUCAAAAAAAAACUGGAACAAGUUCUUUGAGCUAAAAUUUCACAGUGAACUAAAUACAAAUUGGGUAUAGACAUCAAGAAAAAGGAUGCGAUUUUGAAAAUACAGAUAUUUAGGAGUUUGCUUGGUGGCUCAGCGGUAAUGAACCCAGCUCAUGUCCAUGAGGACACGGGUUCAAUCCCUGGCCUCGAUUGGUGGGUUAAGAAUCUGGCAUUGCCGUGAGCUAUGGUGCAGGUUGCAGACACGGCUCGGAUCCCGUGUUGCUGUGGCUGUAGUGUAGGCUGGCAGCAACAGCUCCAAUUGGACCCCUAGCCUGGGAAUUUCCAUAUGCUGCAGGUGAGGCCCUAAAAAUACAAAAAAAAAAAAAGAUGUUUAGCUGUAGAAUUGUGAACUAUGAAUAGCAAGAAGAGUUUUUUGCUGAAGAAAUACUGAGACAAUGAAAAUAAAAUCUUAGACAUCGUGAAGGCUUUUUAGUCUCUUGCCAGCCUAGAAAAAACAAAUCCAGGCAGUUCAAUAACAUAAUCUGGAUUGUCCAGUCACACUUGGGUUUCUGGUUUUGACUCGGAAUAUCAAAAUCAUAAAAACACAGAACUUGAUCUUAGUUUCGAUCAUGAUUUCCUGGGGAGCUAGGGCCAUGCUGGUUCUCUGUGCUUCACCAUUUAAUUAGCCUGAUCAAAACCAUCUGCUGGACGGAUUAAGGCUUCCUUGAUGAGGCCCUUCACCCCCUAGACCUGCCAUCUCUUUCUGGCCAGGGCCAUACCAACACCCACAAGCUGGCUCCCCACCUUCCUGCCAAGGACUGGAUACCGUGCCCCAUUUCCCAUGGCCCUCCCCCUGCCACCCCGUCCUCUUUGAUCACCAACAGCUCAACUUGGUAAGUGCCUGUUGCACUUCAAGAGCAGCUCUGAAGCCACUCCAUCAGAGCCCUCUGCCCCCAGCAGCGUGGUCCUGCCCUAUUGCAUCCGUGUGUUGACACAGCUGUCUCCGCUCUGACUGCGCAGGAGCUGAGGCUCGGGGAUGCCUUGUCACAUCUGCAGCCCCCGGAUCCUGCAAGGCAAUGAAGGGAAAGAGAGAAUGGACAGAGGGAGGAGCCAGGCACUAAAUGAGGUGCCAAGGAUACAUCAAUGAUCGUCCCUCCAUCAUCCCCGAGGCUCCACCUUCCUGAGAGAUGUACCAUAUAAAGUGUUCUUGUAUGAUAACCACCAAAAUCUGGUCUAAAUCAUCUUAUUCCUAAUGAGGGAAGGAAUAUACUGAAGCCUGAGAAAGUCUGAGAAAACUUCCUAUAUAAAGAGGAAGGGUGUGUGUGUGUGGGUGUGUGUGUACGCAGACAAUAGGAAGCCACUGAUGUUUUUUGCACAAAGGAACAGCAGGAAUGAAAAAAUGUUUUAAGAAGAUUAUCUAGCAGUGGUAUACAAAUUCACUGAAAUGGUGUACAGAUUAAAGUAAAAAUUAUUUCAAAUCAUUAUGCAGCCAUGAACAAUUAUUACACAUAAUUGCAUUUACAGAUGUGGGAGAGCGAACAUACAGAUGAAGUACAAAAGAAGCAGGCUACAAAACAAGGGAGAGGACAGAAUCAUCUUCUGUAAGAAAUUGUUCACAUUUUUACUUGUGGGAGUAUUUAGAUGUGUAGCUACCAGAGUAAAGUUUAGGAGAUUAAAUAUCAGAGCUGUAACAGGAAUGCUAUCUGAGUGGAGAAACGUGAUUUUUCUCUUCUUUCUGUCUCUUUGUUUAUAUCUGUAUUUUCUAAUUUUUAUUCCACCAUGAAUAUGAGCCACUUGGGUAAUUUUUGUAAAUCUCCUCCCAAGAAGUAAAGAGCCCAUUUAUUGAUAUUAAAGAGGACAGGAAGCGGUGGUGAGGAUCUGGCCGCUGGCAGUGGCAGUGAGAGUGGAAAAUAGGAAGCAGAGUUGAGAGCAAUUAUGGCGGAAGUGCUGACGGAAGCGGGUGGGUGACUGGGAGAGGAACUGAAGGGAAACCAGAAAUCUGGGUGACACCCCUGGAUUUCCAGCCUAAGUAAGCAGGCGCCAUGGCUAGAAAUGAGACGGUGUGGAUGGCACUUAGCUUGGAGGAGAUCAUUUCCUCUUAGACCUGGUGUGUUUGCGAUGGUGACAGUCAUCCAAGAGAGACUGAAGUCAAGGGAAAGCCUGGGGCUCCAGGAGGCUGUGGGUUUAGGACUCACCCUCACACCCAGGUCAGGUCAGGUGCCCCCUGUGGGUUCCCAUGGCCUCCGUGUCCCUUCCCGAGGGAUGGCUUCCUGACCAUAGUGACAUGAAGUGUCCACAACC
Molecule: long non-coding RNA, 2509 nt
Filed under: Sus scrofa (pig)
Lineage: Eukaryota; Metazoa; Chordata; Mammalia; Artiodactyla; Suidae
Description: lncRNA (ENSSSCG00045002183.1)
Source: RNAcentral